Molecule: long non-coding RNA, 5844 nt
Organism: Nymphaea colorata (pocket water lily)
Lineage: Eukaryota; Viridiplantae; Streptophyta; Magnoliopsida; Nymphaeales; Nymphaeaceae
Exons: 15
Source: RefSeq, a predicted model, not a curated record
UUCAAAUUGCAAACGAGCGGUAGAGGAAUCGGGGGAGGAAACUUGGAGAACGGAAGAGGAAAGUAACCAUCUCCUCUUCUUGAGUAUUUUGCUUUUAGUCACCGUUGAGGCAAGUCGUCCAUAAAAAAAGCAACCGCCUCUCCCGCUUUCGCGCGCUUCCAGCCCUCUACCACAGCGAUCGCUCGCUCUCCGGCCGGUGCUCUCCAACACCAUCGCUGCUUUCUCUCCAGCCGGCGACCUCCACCACCACCGUCGUGUCCCCAAGAGAACUUCUCCAGAGCCAGGGCCGCUGUCAGAGAAGAAAGAGGAAGGAGAAAGAACAUGAUCAUCGCCCUUCCCAGAGCACACGUCGCCUCCCUCAACGCCUCUUUUUCCUCAGGAGAUCGCGUCUUCUGUUGCAAUCGACCUAUCUCCUUGGUUCGAUGGUUUCGGGAAGACGAAGCUGAGACCCCGGCCGUCGAUCAACUUGCUGGACGACAGGUGCCUUAUGCACAUCUUCAGUUUCUUACCUCCACUCUCUGUUAGAUGCUGCUGCACCAUUAUUAGCAGGCUUGGAGAGACCAAUUGCCGUUGCUUAAGUAAAUGCUGACCAAUGCAGGCACCUUGCUUCAAAAUUUGAUGGCGAUGGGUUUCCAACUCUCAAGUUGUUUAUCAUGGUGUGCUAGUGGAUUAUACUGGUCCAUGACAGCCAGAGUUGCCUGUUGAGGGCUGCUAGUUGAUCUCCAUAUUCAGUUAGAUGCUGCUGCACCAUUAUUAGCAGGCUUGGAGAGACCAAUUGCCGUUGCUUAAGUAAAUGCUGACAAAUGCAGGCACCUUGCUUCAAAAUUUGAUGGCGAUGAUUAGAUUGAGGACAGGAGUGACUGCAUCUAAAAAGUUUUCUCGUAAUGCAGUGGGUUUCCAACUCUCAAGUUGUUUAUCAUGGUGUGCUAGUGGAUUAUACUGGUCCAUGACAGCCAGAGUUGCCUGUUGAGGGCUGCUAGUUGAUCUCCAUAUUCAGUUAGAUGCUGCUGCACCAUUAUUAGCAGGCUUGGAGAGACCAAUUGCCGUUGCUUAAGUAAAUGCUGACAAAUGCAGGCACCUUGCUUCAAAAUUUGAUGGCGAUGGGUUUCCAACUCUCAAGUUGUUUAUCAUGGUGUGCUAGUGGAUUAUACUGGUCCAUGACAGCCAGAGUUGCCUGUUGAGGGCUGCUAGUUGAUCUCCAUAUUCAGUUAGAUGCUGCUGCACCAUUAUUAGCAGGCUUGGAGAGACCAAUUGCCGUUGCUUAAGUAAAUGCUGACAAAUGCAGGCACCUUGCUUCAAAAUUUGAUGGCGAUGGGUUUCCAACUCUCAAGUUGUUUAUCAUGGUGUGCUAGUGGAUUAUACUGGUCCAUGACAGCCAGAGUUGCCUGUUGAGGGCUGCUAGUUGAUCUCCAUAUUCAGUUAGAUGCUGCUGCACCAUUAUUAGCAGGCUUGGAGAGACCAAUUGCCGUUGCUUAAGUAAAUGCUGACAAAUGCAGGCACCUUGCUUCAAAAUUUGAUGGCGAUGGGUUUCCAACUCUCAAGUUGUUUAUCAUGGUGUGCUAGUGGAUUAUACUGGCCCAUGACAGCCAGAGUUGCCUGUUGAGGGCUGCUAGUUGAUCUCCAUAUUCAGUUAGAUGCUGCUGCACCAUUAUUAGCAGGCUUGGAGAGACCAAUUGCCGUUGCUUAAGUAAAUGCUGACAAAUGCAGGCACCUUGCUUCAAAAUUUGAUGGCGAUGGGUUUCCAACUCUCAAGUUGUUUAUCAUGGUGUGCUAGUGGAUUAUACUGGCCCAUGACAGCCAGAGUUGCCUGUUGAGGGCUGCUAGUUGAUCUCCAUAUUCAGUUGAGAAGUGGGUAGAUCUUGGAACAUCGUGUCUUGGCCUCUUCAGAAUGGGAAUGAACGCCACCAAUCUUUCAUACAUUGCUCACAGGUACCCUUCUAUCUCUACUUUCUAAAAGUCAGAAACUACCCCACAGUAUCGAACCAUCCUUUUUUUUUGUUUACUUUUGGUAAAUUAUGAACUUUAGGUAGCUUUGAAACUAUUUUGAAGAUAAUAAAAAGCGAUAUGAAUGAAUAGGUUGUGGAUUGUAAAUGAUAGGGAUCAGAUCAACUCUAGCUUUCUUUUGGUAUUGCCUUUGGAAAGUGCUAAUAGUGCUACUAGCUUUUCGUGAAGGGCAGUAAGUAGCUCACCAAUUUCAGUGCCCAAAAUAAAACAUUUGAUAAGUAAUAAAACAUUAAUUUUCCUGUUAAUAGAAGCCAUCAAAUCCUUCUAAAACUUGUUUGAAGGAUCCUUGUCCACAACACAUUUAUGCUUUUAGUACGGGGGAAGUUCGAUCAGAAGGCAGUGAUUCUGCCCGACCCUACUAUGUGGUGGUUGGAGUUCACUUUGGCUCUCCUUCAUGAGUCAAGCCCGUCAAAUAGGUCGUAGGCUCGUUUUGCGUAAGAGAUAAUUAUAUCUCGGCUCGUCGAGUCCCCAUCACAAAACUUGAAUGAAUGUCGUUUAUGCAAGUUAAGUGGGGUCUUGAACUUGUGCAAAUCCAUGAACAAUUUGUUUUUUUCAAGGCCUACGAACAGAACCUUGAAGCACCUUCCAAGGAUGUGACAGAUCGGUAUUACAUCUAAGUAUCUCAUGUAUCUGGUUAAUCUAUUGUCACAUAAAAUGCAUUCUUUGGAACGAAAUGUGUUUUAUACGUCGGAAAUAAGUUCCAAAAAGUGUUGCAAGAAAACCCAAUGUUUGAACAAAAAAAUCCAAAAGAAAAGGAUGGCAAAAAAAAUGUGUUUUUUUUUGCGUCACUUUGUAUUAUUUGCAUUUAUUCUUAAGAGUUUUAAAUUUUUAAAAUUUUUCAAAGAUUUCUGAAGAUUUUCGUUAAAAAGCAACUUUGCCAUAUUAUAUGAGAUAAAAGACGCGCGGUUUAAUUCUUGUGAAUGAUAUUUGUGGGAAUGAGUUAAUUUGCCAUUUGUGAGGUGCAUCUUUGCCUCGGCGAGUUGUAGUUUAUUUUCUCAAACUGGACAAAAUGCGAGAAAAAUCAUGUUGGUUUAGGGCUCCCAUUUUUUCCCCAACCAAGGCUACCCAAAUUUCUCAAAUAAGAACUGCAUGUUAUGAUACUCUAUUCUGAUUUUGUCUUAAUAUUCCGGUCCUAUAAAUUAAUCUGUAUUUUCUUAAUAAUGUUUUCGUUGAGUGACAAAGUACAUGAAACUCCGACCUGAUUUCUAGAGUUUCAUUUGGGCGCAAGGGUAUGUUUGAUUACCAAUUAUCUUAAAGUCUUUAAUUUUUAGGUGGCAAAAGAUUGAUGGUGGUGCAUCAUGCUAAAGAUCUUAGGUUAAACUUUACUUUAUAUUGGCAAACCUGAUAUGGGAUAGAAGAAUUUGAAUCUAAACUUUAAUUAAGGUAAUUGAGAGAUCAGCCCGCUGGAUAUACCAAACGUCCAAACAAUUAAAAACCAUCGCUUUACCCGGGUUUUCUACCAAACCUGACUAUUAAUAUUGUGUUUGACGAAGUGCCCGUGUAUUAUGAAAAAGUGAGUUGAGGAUAGGCUUCGCAAUCGGUGAAGUUGAUUACUUUAAAGUGCGUUUGUUUCUAGUCUUUUCUUACCAACUGUUCAUAAAAAAAAAAUCUUUUCUUUCCAACUGAUCUUAGAAAAGCCCGUCUUUUUUGGUCCUCUGACUUUAUGCAUGACAAAUCCCUCAUAUAUUGAGGCUUUGUUAUUUUGUGUAUUUUAGCACAAUGUUGUUAUGGUUUAAUUUUAUAUAUAUAUUCGACACCUAGUCCAACAUGUUUUUAACCAUGCGAAUGCAAUUCCCUUUAUUAUGGGUUAGUAUCUUUUACACGGAGUCCUUAAAUCAGAUUUAAUUGGGUCAGCGUGCAAUUUCUUGUACACGGAUAAAUUGGAAAUAUUUAUGUUAGGCAUCAAUUUUGCUAAAAAGAUAAACCGAUUUUGGCGUUUAUAUAAGGUCUGAGUGUGUAUAUAUAAACUAUAUAUGUUAAUGGUGAGUCGUCCCAGCAUUUUGACGAUGUUUCAGACUAGCUUUUGUAAAAGUGUAUAUAUAUAUAUAUAUAUAUAUGAGGUAUGAAGUGAACAAUAAUUUGGCCUUAUUUUCAAAAAAAUAUUGUGGAUGCCUCGUAAAUCAAUUUAUACACUUUUUAUAUUUAUUCAGCUUACAUAUUUCAAACAAAGCUCGGCAUUUCGACGGGUACAUAAGUCUGGAUUAGAUAUGACAUACUGGGAAUGACAUGCUUACCAACCGAAUUUAAUAAAUAAACUUAUGUUAGGCCCAUUGUUACCGCAGUCCAACCCAAUCCGCGUACCAACCGAAGCCCACUCUUAAUUUUGACGGGUACAUUUCAUGUAAUGUGUGUAAGAUCAUCUCCUUAUCCUUGAAACCGUAUCUGAGACGGUUCCGAGAAGCCCCACUUGCUUACGUAACUUCUAUUAGUACAUAAGUCUGGAUUAGAUAUGACAUACUGGGAAUGACAUGCUUACCCUUUGUUUCCUGUUUCUAAUCUUUUCUUUCCAAAUGUUCAUCGAAAAAAAAAAAUCUUAUCUUUCCAACUGAACUUAGAAAACCCUAUGAUGCCCGUCUUUUUAGGUCUUCUGAAUUUAUGCAUGACCUAUCCGCAAUUGACAAAUGCAUCCACGCUUGGGUGAUGUAGAAUUAUGUUUGGAAUGACAUAACCCAUGAUUCAUCCGUAGAUGAUGGUUGUGAUUUUGGUAUUUUUGUGUAUUUUAGCACAUCGUGUGUUACGGUUUUAAUUUUAUAUAUAUAUAUAUAUAUUAGCAGUUUUCAGAUCACCAUGAAGUGGUAUGGUAGCAGUAACAACCUUCUUUUGUCUUUUAGAUCAAAGAAAUGAAUAUCAAAUAAAAGAUUCCUAACUAAAAUGGUUAAGCUGCUAGCACUCUGAAUCUGAAAAUGCUUUCAACUGCUUUUGUAGUUGUAUCUGUUAUUGGUUGCAGAUUAACUAUUUCAUUUUUUACUGCUUGAGCGUUUGUAUGUUAUUGCUGACUGUUCUUGCAUAUUACGUUUUUGUUUUUACAUGAGCCGUUCAUGGAUAGUUGGUGCCACAGCAACUGGGUUAUCAUUGUUAAUGCAUGACUAAUUGUGAUAGUAAGUGCAUCCUUAAUUCCAUCAUUGUUUUAGUGGUGUCAUUCAUGAUGAAGAGUUAGCGUCACUGAUGACAUUUACUGAAGCAUGUUGUGCAUCACUAAAUGCAAUUUUCUUGUAGUGAAGUUUUUUGGAUGUUUGACAAGUGUCAUAAAUAUUUACAAAUUUCUUGAACAUAAGUACACAUUUUUUUUGGAAUUUUUUAUAAAAUUUUAUUCUCCUUAUUGAUGCUUCAUACAAUUUUAUAGACAUUUUUAAAAUUAAUUUUUAAAAUUUAUUAAACAAGUUGAAAGUAAUAAGUUUGUUAUAUAGAUUUGGGGAAGUCUUGUGAACAUUUAUCUCUUUAUUGAUGCUUCAUACAAUUUUAUAGACAUUUUUAAAUUAAUUUUUAAAAUUUUUUAAACAAGUUGAAAGUAACAAGUUUGUUAUAUAGAUUUGGCGAAGUCUUGUGAACAUUUAUGUACUGAUGAAAAGUUUAUGUUCUUUUAGAUUUUCAUGAUUUUUUUAACCAAUCUUUGCGAGACUUUUUAAUCUCUUAGAUUUUUUUUUUGUUUGAAUUACCAUCAACAUCUAUAAUGACUUAAAUGGAUGAUUAUAUAUUUUUAUCUUGGAUGACAAUUUCCGUAUUUUUCUGAAUAAGUACUUCUCUAAUUUCUUGUAAAAUUUGUACAUAUUUCCCAAACAUAUUUGUAGACACUUCUACAAUUUUUAGACCGGAUAAGACCAUUGAUCGAACUUUAACAAU